Folsomia candida is the source of this 1153-nucleotide long non-coding RNA. RefSeq lists it as uncharacterized. The record is from RefSeq and is a predicted model, not a curated record. Lineage: Eukaryota; Metazoa; Arthropoda; Collembola; Entomobryomorpha; Isotomidae. The transcript has 2 exons.
AUGCAUCCUUCCGUGUAUGUAAUUUGCAUGCCGUUACAGGUCAUGUGAUAUGCGCAUACAUACAUAUGGACAUGCAGACGGCACGUGGACAUCUUUGAAUCUGUAAGGUUGCAAUCGUAAAGGAAUAAAAAUACAUAAGGAUUCAAUCUUUGAACAAAGUUGCUUAUGUACUUGUGGUCAAGCAAACUUAUCUGGUGACCGUCAACUUGACAUUGAACGAACUUUCUACAUACAUAUGGACAUGGUGGCGAAUCUCGCAUCUGCUCGAUGCGAAAAACAAGCCAACACAGAUUGCACAUGUCCUGGGAUAAAGUUUGAUUAAGUUUGUAUCAAAAAGUUUUUUUACGGCGUCGAUCGAGUAAGUUAAAAUAUUAACAACGAGAUAUGUACUCAAUCGUUGGUUGGAUCAAUUUAUGCUGAAGCGAGGAUAAAGUAACAUUAUUUGAAUCUGUAACUUGCACAUGCAUAAACCUAUUUUACGUAUCAUUAAAUAUUGAUAUGUAAAUAGUUAUAUAUGUAUAUGUAACACAUCGCCAUUUCGCAAAAUAUAAAAGUGGAUAAAAUCAUUGCACUCUUAAAAUACUCGUCACUUCAAGACUUGCCCAAAUCCAAGAACUUUGUAGUUUUCCCUGUCAUCCCGUUACACACUAAAUUGUUGAAAAUUUUUUCAGGAUGAGGAUUCUUUUCGCCGUGAUUUUGAUUUUAGGAGUGAUCGCCCUUUCUCGGGUAGAAAAUGCAGCCGGUGGAUUCAUUGGAAACCCUAACGCCCAGAUCGCCUGUAUCUGCACGGCACAAAGGUGUACCGGCAAUGAGUCAGAGUUCGAGUGUGGUGGUGGUCGAACCUGUAAAUUUCUUGCUGCCUGCGGUUGGAGGUGUCAAGGGGGAUUUUUAGACGUUUGCGUCGCCGUUUAAUGUCUCCUACAUCAUUUCAUUACCGACCCUGGAGUGAAUUGAGAUGUGAGUUUGAUGAAAAACUAAUUAGCCCGUGUAACGUUAAAACUAAAUCAUGUGAAUUAAAUCAAAAUUAAAUUAUUAAAAUAGUUAAUAAUUUUUAUUAAGGUAUUUAUUAAGUAAGUACUUAAAAUUAUGAUAAAGACAUAUAUAUGUUCACAAAUAAAUCUUUGGGAAGUAAAUAAAACUAGAUUAUUUCAUA